UUCUAUGGUAGGACGGAAGGGGGACACCUUUGGGUGUGCUGAUUCCUAGAUGAUCAGUCUGCUAACCCCUUUUCGUUCUGCCACCAUU
Non-coding RNA from Acinetobacter haemolyticus, 88 nucleotides. The record is from Rfam. Lineage: Bacteria; Pseudomonadati; Pseudomonadota; Gammaproteobacteria; Moraxellales; Moraxellaceae.